RNAcentral lists this ribosomal RNA (440 nucleotides) under uncultured bacterium. Its description in RNAcentral is "bacterial SSU rRNA". It matches the Rfam family "Bacterial small subunit ribosomal RNA", at positions 338 to 794 of the family's 1533-position model. The record is from RNAcentral.
CCUACGGGUGGCAGCAGUGGGGAAUAUUGCACAAUGGGCGCAAGCCUGAUGCAGCAACGCCGCGUGCGGGAAGAAGGCCCUAGGGUUGUAAACCGCUUUCAGCAGGGAAGAAAAUGACGGUACCUGCAGAAGAAGGUGCGGCCAACUACGUGCCAGCAGCCGCGGUGACACGUAGGCACCAAGCGUUGUCCGGAUUUAUUGGGCGUAAAGAGCUCGUAGGCGGUUCAGUAAGUCGGGUGUGAAAACUCAGGGCUCAACCCUGAGAGGCCACUCGAUACUGCUGUGACUGGAGUACGGUAGGGGAGCGGGGAAUUCCUGGUGUAGCGGUGAAAUGCGCAGAUAUCAGGAGGAACACCAGUGGCGAAGGCGCCGCUCUGGGCCGUAACUGACGCUGAGGAGCGAAAGCGUGGGUAGCAAACAGGAUUAGAUACCCUGGUAGU